CUCAGAUUGCUCGAUUGUGUCAACAAUCACUCCGAUCGUACACCAUGUCUGGAUGCUCAUCUUCCACCUGUUGUUGCGGUUCUAGCUGCCAGUGCGACCCUUCAAGUUGCAAGUGCAGGUCCUUGGCUGAGCCCACCUUCGGUGGCCUUCGCAAGUGUGUCUCUGCUCUCUUCUGCCCUUCGUGUUCCAGAUGAAAUUGUGUGAACUCUCUCGCGGAAUUCUGCAAUUCGAUAUGUUAGAUUGUUCUCAGGGGUUUUCCUUUUGCUUGAAGUCUCAGAUGGGUAGAAUUGUGGAAAAGGGUUGGUCAUCGGGACAUGGUUCUAACGUGUUGCGAUCCUUGACUGUGUGUGUGAAUUGUCCAGCUACAACGCAGAGAACGACUGCAAAUGUGGACCCGGCUGCAGCUGCGCCGACUGCGACUGCCACAAAUGAAGACCUCCGUCGUCUCUCACGACGGUUUGGAUCGGGAGGGGCUUAACCUUGGCGUGAGCUUCCUCAUCAGUUGUGUGUAAGAUUCGUCAGGAAAGACAAAAAAAAAGUAUCGAAGCUUCCAAGCUAUGGCUACCGCUCUAUUAGGAGUAAAUCGCCACUCUUUUCGGGGCAGAGAAACCAUAGCAAUUAUCAAUAAUAAUCAUCAUCAUUGUGAGUAGUUGCAUCCGAGCGGCAGCUGCCUGUGCUUGUUUUUCGAUUUGCAAUUGCUCAGUAAAGUUUGCUCUCAAUUAAAUU
Molecule: long non-coding RNA, 726 nt
Filed under: Physcomitrium patens
Lineage: Eukaryota; Viridiplantae; Streptophyta; Bryopsida; Funariales; Funariaceae
Description: long non-coding RNA (PPAT_LNC003279)
Source: RNAcentral